Molecule: small RNA, 56 nt
Filed under: Archaeoglobus fulgidus
Lineage: Archaea; Methanobacteriati; Methanobacteriota; Archaeoglobi; Archaeoglobales; Archaeoglobaceae
Source: RNAcentral
GCUCACGCACUUCGAAAAAUGGUGAUUAGAGGGUGCUCAUCCUCUUGACCUCAUCA